AUUCCAUCAAACAGAAUUAGCCUUUUCUUAGAAAGGAAAGCUAACCUUUUGAUUUUUCCAAGGCCACGUUCUCCUAAAACAAGCAUACUGAUAUUUAGCUUUUGAACUACAUUGCAUAUGGCUGUUUUAGGAUCCCCUUCCUCUGUGAUUAUCUCUGCAUUCACCUGUUAAAAAUAUAUAAAAUAAUAAAAAAAAACCGCACUCGGUAAAAGUUGACACUUGGUUCCAGAAACUGGCAUAACUUAGAGGAGUAUCACACGCAAAUUCAUAGAUCCAAGGUAUGUAACGAAAAUGAAAAUAAUUGUAGAAAACCGAAACCUUCCAAUUGGUAUUUUGAAUUACUUCGAUUUGCCCCCUUCUAUUUCAGAUACAAGUGCAAUUGGGAGGUGCCAUUGCAGUGUGUCCAAAUCACAAAUUCAAGCAGGAUAAAUUUUUACUUGAGUGGGGGUGUCAGAGGCUAUCUAAAACUUGAUCCUCAUCUAACAGGAUAAAAACACUCGUUAAAACUUUAGUUUCAGUGGUUCCAUGCCACUCAACACAAGAAGUCAUUUCUUAUCACUGAUCUGAGUGCCUAUACUUAACAACAUUGCAAGUAAGAUGUGAGUCGCUAACUUGGCAUAACAGUGUGUCAGCAAAUAGUAAAGAAAUAUGAGCAUACCCCUCGACUAGCACAAAUUUCCUUAGCUUUCUCCAGGAAAGCCAAAGCGAGCUUCUUGUUGUUCUCUCUGACAGAGUUGACAAAAUCCGGAGCUGUUACAGCUGAAACAGAGCAGUACAUGCGAGCAGAGCCGAGGGAAGCAGCAAAAGGGUAGUUUUUGGGAGGGGGCUGGGCCAUAAAGAUAAAAAGGGGUGAUUUUGCGAGAGAUUCUUUAAGAUUGUCAAGUACCCAGAUGAGAGCAUAGUGACUAUACUCGCUUUCAUCGAUGGCCAGCAUCACUUUCCUCUCAGGUUCUCCAUUUGCCAUAGCUACCUCUGCCAUUUUCAGGGUUUAGACCCAAAAGCUUAGUUUGAAGAAUGAUGCCUUCGUUUACAGCAGAAUACGAUAUUUUCAGCGUGGAGGUCAGAACAAAGCUUUAUGAAAUGUAGUUAGGGAAACAGUGGGCGGAAAGAUUAGGUCAUAACCGCCAGUCAAUUUAGAAUUUGGCCUCCAUGCCGUUGGUAUCUGAACCGUGGGUACAAGGAAUCGAUUCAUA
This 1193-nucleotide unclassified non-coding RNA is filed under the name Hevea brasiliensis (rubber tree). The record is from RNAcentral. Lineage: Eukaryota; Viridiplantae; Streptophyta; Magnoliopsida; Malpighiales; Euphorbiaceae.